This 33824-nucleotide long non-coding RNA is filed under the name Olea europaea (common olive). Its description in RNAcentral is "long non-coding RNA (OEUR_LNC000790)". Lineage: Eukaryota; Viridiplantae; Streptophyta; Magnoliopsida; Lamiales; Oleaceae. The record is from RNAcentral.
UGAGUACUAUUCAUCUAAUAUCUAACUCUUCUCAGCUGUAUUCACAAAAUAGAUUGUUGCACUACUCAGAACUUCCCUCGAGAAGAAAUACACCCAUAAAAUCUCAAAGGGAUUUAAUGUAAUGAAAUGGAAAUAACUUGCCUGAUCAAUUUUGGAGAACUUGGCAAACAAGUCAUCAGGUAUAGACCAAUCAAAAACAUCAAAGUUCUCUUUGAUCCUUGAUUCAUUUGUGCUCUUGGGAAGUACACUAUGACCCAUCUGCAAACCCCAUCGAAGAGCAACCUGAGCAGGAGUUUUACCCAAUUUUUCUGCGGUAGUGACUAUAACAGGAUGCUUGAGAACAUUGGUCUUGUACAUCACCGUUCCAGGCGAACCAAGUGGUGAAUAUCCCUUUUAAGAAAAUUAACACGUUGAUUAAAAUGCAAAAAAAAUCAAAGGUAAAAACCGUUCUCAGAUUUAAACUUUUAAUGGUGAGCCAAGCAAUUAUGAUUAUCAAAUUGAAAUAUAACUACCCCCACCACCACAAAGAGAGAGAAGACCAAAAGAAGUUUCCUCAUUCUUAGAGACAUGAACCAAAGGAUCAUUGUGUAAUGUUAAGUAACCGAGUUUUGCCAACUCACAGAGAGGUGAACUCCCUUUGAUUUACAGAAUUCUCGUAGUUUGGUCUGCUGCCACACCGGAUGGCACUCAACUUGGACGACAGCCGGAGGAAUGCGAGCUACAUCCAAUAGAUCACCAAGCUUUUUGGUGGAUAUAUUGCAAAUUCCAAUAGCUCGGGCCUUACUAGAGUCGUAGAGUGCUUCCAUGGCCUUCCAUGUGGUAGGUAUAUCAACUGGAACAAAGUCUUCUGGAUUAAUGCCAACAGCCCCCUUCCUCAACCGGGCAGGCCAAUGGAUCUUCACAAUUAGACAGGUCCAUUCAUUAGCCCAUGAUAUAAUUUUUCCAACAGUAAAGAUGCAAAAUAUCCCUCUCAAAGAAAAGAAAAGAAAGAUGUCUAUGGAUCAAGCUGAUUCUGUGUUAUUCUAGAUCUACGAAUUCAUGCAUACUGUCUUCUUAUAAGGUCAUCUUGCGUUAACUUUUAAAUUGUCAAAAUUUUAAUAAAAGGUUAAUAUCACGAAAAUUUACGUACAAGAUACAAAUCAAGAUAGUCAAGUUUCAAAUCUUCCAAUGUUUUAUCUAAUGCCAUGGGUACAUCUUCUGGUGCAUGAUCAGAACACCUGCAGAAGUUAAGAGAUCAGUUCUAGGUUGAAUGCUUAAAAAGUCAGUCAAUAAAGACCGGAUGUGAAAGAGAAGAGUAAGAUGAAGUGAUUAGUAUAAGAACUACAACGUUCGAGAACCUCAAGACUAGCUUUGGAUCAAACCCAAAAAGAAGGUGAAGCAGCAAAGGCAUAAAGAGUAUUUUGUAACGAAACGUGCACAAAUUACAAAGACGACAGUACCAUAGCAUAAUUUACAUCCAUUAUAAUGGAAAACUAGUUCUUGCCCCAUAUAAUGGAAGAUGUUCUUGUUUCACACUUCAAAAUUAAAGUAACUCACACUGACAAGUUUCAUCAACCAGCUUUACAUAGCAAAUAAUCAUCUUCAAAUAUUAACUAUCACAUUGGAGUUUUGAAUUCUCCCAAAUGAAUUCAGAACCUGAUCACAUUUUGAAUAUAUUUGUGAACAAAAUUUGAUUACCAGAGUUUGGAGGUAACAAAUAAAUCCUCCCUCUUCACAACUCCAUCAUCAAACAGCUUCUUUAAAACUGAACCUAUCUGCAAAGAAGAACAGAAGAUGAGUCUCACAUACACAUAUAUAGCCCCUUUUUGUCGUAGCUAAAUAUCAGAUUUUUAGUUGAUUUUGACAAAAGUUAUGAUAUGCGUAGUUGGAAAGUUGAUAAAAAUUGUGAAUCCCAUAAAAUGUGUAGUUAAAAUUGGUUGUUGAUUUUGGCUUAGAUUUUUAUCAUUUUUAAAGUUACAUAAAACAAGGGCAUAGUAAAGAAAAAGGGAUCUUGUGCCUUCACAACAGCGAUGUAAAGAAAAAAAUACCUCCUUCUCAUUUCUAUAGGAUCGAGCACAGUCAAUAUGGCGGUAUCCAAUCUGCAUAAAAGUAGCAGGGAUUGAUAGACAAUUAUAGAAAGACAAUUUUUCUCACUGUCAAGCUAGAAAUCUAAGAAUGUGCACAUCAUUUUACGGUACAAGAUGAAAAUAUUUUUCCAUUAAAUUUCAUCUGCUCAUGUAUGAGAUGAAAAUACUAUCUGCAUUAACUGCAAGUGAUAUCAAACUUAAGCGGACCAAUUCCAUACACGUUAAGAUGUCAACUCUCAUAUUUUCUUGCUUCAUUAUUCAUUCUCAAUAUAAUUCAAUAAUCACCAGAAAAUGCUAUAACAAACUCAUAAUAGUCAGCAUUGUCGUUGCUCUGAGUUAAUGCAAUGGUUAGCCACAGAGAAGAACUGAUAACAUAACCAAAAGUAUAAACGCUGCAACCAAUAUUGAACAUAAGGACUUCUGCAACAGGACUUCAUAUAUAAGGCAUGUAUUCCACUCCUAAGCUCCAGCAGUUUACCAGUAAUUAGCACCGGAAGUUUACAAGCCACUAUAUUAUAACAAAUUUUGGACCAACAUCCUCCCAUUCCAUUUUUGUGCCCCUUUUUUUCAAACAAAUCACUGAAAUUGGAGUGGAACCAAACCCCAAAACAUUUUCUAAAUUAAACUUAAAAUUUUUAAAUCCGCACAACGCUAAAUCCUCCUAAAUGCCCUAAAUAAUCUCAUUAUACAUUCAGCACACGAAGAUACGCAUAUGCAUAAAUGAUGUACAAAUGUAGGUAGAGAGAGUGGCGAUCGGCGACCUUGAUGGCGGUUUCAACAGCACGACCGACAACACCAGGGUCCGCCUGCCACGUGCCAAGGCCGACUGAGGGAAUUUUUGCUCCGGUGUUCAACACGAAGCGUAGAAUCUCCUUUGCCAUUAUCUAGAUUCACGAUUUAUUUUUUGACAGAGAAUUGGAAGGUUGAAUAGUGAAUACGGCACUACAACGGACACAGUGAGGACAUCGAAUAUUUUUUUUCUGCUUAUAAGUGGAAUCAUGACGGCCGGUUCCCCUUGGGUACACGAUCAACGAUCACCGGGAUGAAGCCUGACGGCCAGGACCCGCUUGUAAUUUUGAUGGGGCAAUCCUGAGCGUUAAUUCGUGUUUCUUUACAAAAACUCUGUGUCAGCCUUUGUUAUUUACUUUUUAUAACUUUUCCUUAUUUUUUAAUCACACAUUUCAUAUCAAUACACUAUUUAAGAAUGCAUUAUUAUCAAAAUAAUGUGGUUCAAACAUUCCAUAAUCUAAGUUAAUUUUAAUGAAAAUUGCACCCCGUGUCCUUUAUAAAAAAAUGAUCACUUUUUAGAAGAUUUGUAUGAAUGACCAUUUUAAUAAAAUUUUAGCAAGAAAUACACAAAACUCCGAAUAAAUCUUUAACGUAGUUUUUGACUUUCCAGAAUAAUUAAUGUCAUGGGUUAGUAUAGUUUUUUUAGCAAUUUACUUGUUGCUUUCCAUGUGAUUGAACUGCAUUUGAUAAACUUCUAACGUGUCAGUCGUUCUCUAUUACCUAACAAUUAAAGAAUUUAGUAAAGCCUCCUAGAGUUCAUUUUCUUGUCGAAAAAGGGAAGAUAAAUCAAAAAUUUUAGAAAGAUUCUAUAGUAAAUUUAGGUUUAGAGGAGGGUCAAUGUUUUGUCUAAAAGUAGGUGUUAAACCUUAACAGUUAGCUAUAUGUAUGGCCUUCUUGUAACCUAGUUUGCUAAUUCUAAUUAUGUUUUCAUGUUUAAUAUCUUUCCUUUUUUCCUUUGUUUGUCAUAUAAUUUGUCGAGCUAUGUUCCUCCGCAAGCCUACCCAAUAUCAGUCGAUAUAACAAUUACAUCUUGAGUAGCUUGUCAUCUUGUGCCAAGGAUCAAUGAUUUCAAUGAAAUUUUCGAGACUUGGAACAUAGGAUAUCCACUGCACAAUGUGAUGGCUGGAGCUCGACUAAAGUCUCACUUGUCAUUCAACAUGCAGGGAUGCUGCGAGCUGUCCAACAGGAUUGCUAAUGUUUCUAUAUGUCUUCUUCAAUUAAUCGAUCCUUCAAAUGCUUGUGAGAUCUUUUCUUCACCAUAGUUAUUAUUGUAUCUAUCUUUAUUUUAGGGUAAAUAGCACAAAACGUCCUAAUUGUACAAAAUAUUUACAAUCAUGAUACUUGUACAAUAUUUUUUUUUUACAAUUUUGUUUGACAAUCAUACUUGACAAUAUCACAUUCAUCUAUUUCAAACACUGUUUUUAAAAUUAAUGGUCCAAGUUUUGAUAACAUCAAUGUUGGUAUCCAUCAUUGUCAACCACAAUUGUACAAAUGAAUUAAUUCUUUUUUCUUAUAAUAUUUGGCACUUUAUUUAGGGAAAUUGGUGACUGGGGUCCUAAUUAGAAAAAAGGUACUGUUCACAUUCUUCUCCACGUACACCACCUACCCCCAAAAAAAGGCAUCGCCAUCGUCGCCGCCACUACUACCUCCAACCUCUCCCUCCACUAAGUAAGAUCAACUAGGUGCAAAUUGCAUACAAGCAUUGUUUGGACUAAAAAUUGAGCCACCCCAUUUAGCUACCAGUUCAGAAUGCUCAACUUGCAAAGAAGAACUUAAGUUAGGAAUUGAAGCAAAAUGAACUUCUAUGAUACCAUAUAUACCAUUCCAAUUGCAUUGUCCCUUGGUUGGGGCUUCACAAUUCUUCCUCAAUUUGCCACACGAGCUAUUAUUUUGAUGAAUGGGAGUUAAAUUCUAGCAGAUUCAUCCAGCGAUUCUCUUGAGGAAAGUGGUGGUCUCGACUAGCAGCUCUAUAGGCUGAGGAUUUUGGCAAUAUGUAGCCCUUUCGAUCAAGAUAUUGAUUUGAUGUAGGAUUGAAUGAACUAGCAGAAGCAGCAGAAUACACACAGUAAAGAAACAACUAGGGAGAAAGAUAAGGAGAGAAGGGAGAGAGAAGAGAAGAAAGGGCGGUGGAAAAGGAGAAAACUUCUGCAACACUUCAAUUCAUUUCCAUCAAUUCUAUCUCUUACAUAAAGGCUGCAUACAUAUAUAAAUUCCAAAACAUAAAAGGGCAUUGGGCCAUCCCAUAAAUAUAGCCCAAUUAAACUAAUAAAACAUGAAAUAAAUAACACUCAAGUAAAAGCCCAAAAUAGGUGAUGUCCUCAUCAACUCUCCCAGGGUGGGAGGAAAAACUCGACUCAAUCGAGUGGAUAAGACAUAAAAGACCAUGGCGGACGAUCUUUCUGAAGAACCAAAUAUUGAAACUCAAGUGUGAUCCAGAUUUGUUGGAGCGUCGCUCUGACAAUCAAUAUAGAAUCAGACUCAGGUUGAUCCACCCAAUGAACAAAAAAGCACCGAAUCUCUCUAUCAUUAGUCAACACAAUCCGUUCAUCUAAAAUGACAUCAAUUUUGUCAUUGCAUGCUGUGAUAGGUAGUAUUUGAAUGGACAUAGCAAAAGAUUCAAUGUGAGAGUUCCCAGGUGGAGAUAGAAAAUGAUCGUCAAAAGUGUUAAAAUAGCCUUUGUAAGCGUCGAAAUCCUCAACAAUUAAAAUAGGUUGGUGGUCAUAUGUGAUGAAAGAUCAUUGACAUAUGCACUUGGACCAACAUGCUUUGAAAUUUUAAAAGGACCAGUAUUACGGGCUUGCAGUUUAACAUAAUCCCUAAUGUUAAAUUCAAAAUGUUGUUUAUGCCAAUCAGUUCGAGAUUUAUAUAAUGCAUUACUUGCUUCAAGUUGUUUAUUGAUCUCAGUAUGCAAGUCAUGAAGAUGUUGUACAAAAGCCUCAACUGAGACAGACAUAUUAGCAUGUGGGGAUAUAGGGAUAAGUUCUAAAGUCUUCCUGGAUUUAUAACAAUGAACAACUUCAAAAGGACUCAUGCUUAAUGACCCAUUCACAGAACUGUUAUAUGCAAUUUGGAUCAUUGGGAGGAUUAAAUCCCAGUUCCUCAUAUUUUCUCGAACUAGACACCUUAAUAGGUUACCAAGACUACAAUUAACAACUUAAGUUUGACCAUCAGUCUGAGAAUAGUACGCAGUAGAAAAUUUCAACUUAGUGCCAACCAUGUGCCAUAAGGUUCUCUAGAAGUGGCUAGUGAACCGAACAUCCGUAUCCGACACAAUGGUCUUAAGAAGGCCAUACAAUUUAACAAUCUCAUUAAAGGACAGUCUAGCAACCUUAGACGCAUCUGAAGUCUUGCUACAAGGGAUAAAAUGGGCCAUUUUCAAAAAACGAUCCACUAUAACAAAAAUAGAAUCAUGUUUCUUUGAAGUACGUGGGAGUCCUAAUAUAAAAUCCAUACUGACAUCUUGCCAAGAACAACUAGAGACAAGAAGAUAUGUGUAAAGACCAGUGUUUUGUCUCUUCUGUUUGGCCAACUGACAGGUGUUACAAGCUCUAACUAUCUUAGCUACAUCUGUUUUCAAACGAGGCCAAUAAAAUUGACGUUCAACUUCUUUGAUUGUCUUAUUACAUCCAAAAUGUCGUGCCAAGCCUCCCGCAUGACUUUCCCAAACUAUAAAGUCUCGUACUGAAGUCCGAGGGAUGCACAAUUUAUUGGACCUAAAAAGAUAACUAUCUUCUAGACAAAAGCUAUCAAUACCAUCCAAUUGUCCACUUUGCAACGCAAGGAAAAAUGUCCUUAAAAUCGGGAUAUGACUCAUAAUCUUCUUUGAGUCAUUCAAAACCUAUGACCUUGAAACUUAUAUUGGUUAAAAGUGAAAUGCGACGACUUAAAGCAUCUGUCGCUUGAUUUUCAUUGUCUUUUUUAUGCUUCAAAACAAAAGAGUAGGCCUGCAAAUACUCUAUCCAUGACCAUGCCUAGCAUUCAACCUGUUUUGGGAAUUAAGGUAGCAAAGUGCCUUACAGUCCAAAUAAAGAAUAAAUUCCUGGGGCAAUAAGUAAUGAUGCCAAUAGUGUAAAGCUUGUACGACUGCAUACAACUCCUUGUCAUAAGUCGAGUAUCGUCGUUUGGCAUCAUUUAAUUUCUCACUGAAAUAAGCAAUAGGGUGGCCCUCUUGGCUCAAAACUCCACCUAUCCCUACCCCAAAGGCAUCACAUUCUACCUGAAAAACUUUGAAAAAAUCGGGAAGUCACAUAACCGGAGCUUCUGUCAUUCGCCUCUUAACCAACUUAAAUGAUUUGGCUUCUUCGUGCAACCAGUAAAAUUUCCCUCUUUUCAUGCACUCCGUAAUAGGAGCCAUGAUCGUGCUAAGCCCUUUAAUGAAACGACGAUAAAAUGUAGCUAAACCAUGAAAACUCCGAACGUCAUGUAUAGUCUUGGGCUCAGGCCAACCAACAAUGGUCUGAAUCUUUGCAAGGUCAACAGACACUCCCGUCGUGGAGACAAUAGAACCUAGAAAGAUAACUUUAUCUGUGAAGAAAGAACAUUUCUUCACAUUAGCAUACAGGCUUGUAGCACAAAGUGUAGAACAAACCUGUGUGAGAUGAUCUCUAUGUUGUUCCUUAGUUUUACUGUACACGAGAAUGUUAUCAAAGUAAACAAUGAGGAAUUUACCCAUGAAUGGUUGCAAAGCUUGUGUCAUUACUCUCAUAAAAGUACUCGGGGCAUUGGUUAGCCCAAAAGGCAUGACCAACCACUUAUAAAGACCAUCAUUCGUUUUAAAGGCAGUCUUCCAUUCGUCAUCCGAGCGAAUCCUAAUUUGUUGGUACCACUCUUUAAAUCAAUCUUAGAAAAUAUCGUGGCACUAAACAUCAUGUCCAACAUAUCAUCAAACCUAGGGAUUGGAAAACGGUACUUCACUGUGAUCUUAUUGAUGACACGAUUAUCAACACACAUUUUCCAAGAACCAUCUUUCUUAGGAGUCAAAAGGGCGGGAAUCGCACAAGCACUUACACUCUCACGAAUAAAUCCUUUGUGAAGGAGCUCUUCUACUUGCCUUUGAAGCUCAACAUGCUCAGUAGGAUUCAUUCUAUAAUGAAGUAAAUUUUGAAGAGAUGAUCCAGGGAUAAGAUCUAUAGUAUGUUGAAUGUCCCAUAAAGGGGACAAUAGAUCAGAGAAGUCUUCAGGAAAGACAUAUCAAAACUCUUGAAGAGCCGACUGACCUCAUUAGGGGUCAAUAUUGGAGAUUCCAAUGGAACCUCCAUGACGACCAUGACAAACACAACAGAAUCCUCUUUGAGUGUACUCUCAAAUUCUGUAGGACUAAUCAUAUGUAACCCUUUCCGUUCCAUAAUUUUCUUGGUUUGUUGUGAAUCAACAAGUUUUGGCGGUAAAGGAUUAAGGUGAAUCUUCUUCCCAUUGAACACAAAGGAACAUGAAUUUGAUUGACCAUGGAUAGUGAUAUCUAAAUCGAACAACCAGGGUCGACCAAGAAUGACGUGUCCAAUGUCCAUGGAAAUGACGUUGCACUAUAUAUGAUCCUUGUAUUCAAAAAACUGGAUAGGAACCAAACAACACUCAUUUACGGCAGUAGAAGAAGUGUCAACCCAAGAGACGCCAUAAGAUUGAGAGCGUGGGAUUGGCUGUAAUCCAAGACAAGACAUCGUAGCCACAGAAACUGCAUUAGUACAGCUACCACUAUCCACAAUAAUUUUACAACCCUUGUUAUUGAUCUCAAUAUAAGCGUGAAAAAUGGUGUGACGAUGCUAGUCAUCAAUAUCUUUAGGGUGAGUAAGGGUACAACGUACAACACUUAGCUGCGAGGUGUCGAGGACAGAGGUCACAGAACCUAGAUCUACAGGGAAGGUUCGGAUGCAACAUAACAAGGUAUCCUCAAUAUCAUCCAAAUUGUCAAGCUCUUCAAAUUUAGGUUCAUAGACUUGAUUUUCUAAUGACUCAACUUCUACAUCUUUUCAUUCCUUAAUGACUAAAGCUUGUCUAAGACAUCUAGAUGCGAUAUGACCAAAGCCUUUACAACUGAAGCACUACAGGUGAGAAGAAGUUUUUGGAAUUUCGGGAGCUUUACCCUUAUUUUCCAACACAGCGGAGACAUUAGAUGGGGGAGGCCCUAGGAGGGACUUAACAGGCAGAGGUGGCGCGAAUGAGACGGAAGGACGAUUGUCAACGUGCCUUUCAUAUAGAGUCUUAGUGACCAACUCGUAAUCUUGGACUAAAGAAUAAGCAUGAUCAAGGGUAGUGACACCUCGAAGGAUAAGCUCACGCCUAAGAUCAUCUUUUAGGCCCUGUCUAAACCUACUCAAAGUCAUUACCUCAUCCUCAACGACAUGACAUUACAUUCGAAAUUCAUCAAAUUGAGUAAUAUAGUCAGUCACUGGUCGAUUUCCAUGUGUAAAGGCAUUCCAUUGGUCCAACAAGUUGCCCCAGUAAGAUAGGGACAAAUAUUUCUCUUGAAGGCGACGCUUCAUUUCCUCCCAACUUCCAAUAGAAGGUGCAUAACGCUUCUCAAGGAGAUCCUCAACACUUUUCCAGAAGAGUUGGGCGAUGCCAAUUAAUUUCAAACUGGCAAAUUGGAUACAUCGAUCCUUUGGGACUCCAUACCAUGCCAAGAAACGAUCCAUGUCUCUAAUCCACUGAGUAAAAACUCUAGGAUCUAAACAACCAUCGAAAGUAGGAGUGUCUAACUUGAUGUUUCUAAAGUAACGCUCGUCAUGGCGUGGAGGAAAAUGAUUAUCGCUACGACCAUGACCUCGUUCUCGAUCACGGCCCUGAUCUCUAUUCCUUUGAUCACGUCAAGGAUGUUGUCGACGAUAAUAUGGUACAUUAUGGGACGCUUCAGAGUUAUCAGCGUCCGUCGAACGAAGGGGUUGUUCAAAAUUGUCCAACCUAGCAGCUAGGUCUCUACUCUCUUUACGAGUAGCAGCCAUCUCGGUUUGGACGGCCACUGUUUGAGUCUGUAAAUGUUGAUGACUAGUGACAAGCUGAGCUAAUUGUCUAGUGAGUGCAUCAAAUUAUGAGGGGUCCAUGGUGAAUGUACUAGAACUAGGUGUGAUUAGACAACCAUUACGCAACUGCAUGCAAUUUAAUACGAACUAAAUGACUUGUGAUGGAGAGAUCAAUGAACAACAAGCGCAAGUAAUGAAAAAUAGCAACUUGAGCAUUUAAAUUAAAGGUUUGGGAUUAAGUAAGUCCAAAUAUGACAAGCUAAUACUGCUGAUAUAUGUAAAAUAACAAAACGAGGGUCAAAUUACCAAUCAAAAUCCAAUCAUGUAAAAUAAGUGGGGUAAAAGUGGGGUUUAAUUUGGUUCAAUCAUGUAAUUUCAGGUAAAGUAAUAUAACAGCAGAACAGAAAAUUAAUUGAUGCGAUUUUAAAUUAACAGUAAUAUAGACCAAAUAUAGAUAAAAAUAGUAACUUCCCUUUUUGUUCGCUGAAGUAACUGGGUCGAUCAACAAAAAAAGAAGGGGUACCUGCAAAAUAAUGUUAGAAAAUACAAUUUUUUUGGCUUUUCUUUUCUUUUCUUUUUUCACUUUCUCUUUUCCGUUUUUUUUAAACUUACAAAAUCAAAUAAGUAAACCUGUUACAAAUCAAGGCCCAAACACUAAUGGAGGCCCAAAACACUCACUACCCAUUUAAUAUAAGCCCAAUAGUAAUACAUGACCUAACUAACACCAAGCCCAAAGUAAAAUCAGAGGAUUCACGCAAGCUAAAAUGGGAAAUCGAAGGCUGGCGAUGGAAGUUGCGGGUGGCUGUGAUGGGUGACGGUACUGUGAGGGUGACUGACGGUCAACGACCCUAAUGGUCAUGAGUGGAGGCGGCGGUCGUUAGGUAGGUGUUUCGAGUUGUCGCGAGCGGUCCGAGUUCGAAAAGAAAUUGGUUCAAUUUCUAGUUGCUGUACUUUCGGAUGGGUUGGAUUAUGGUCUAUUGGGUAACUUGUAUGAAUUCGAGUAGGGGUGUUAGUUGAUGUUGGGCUAGUGAAGUUCGUGGGCAGUUCGAUGAUGCAAUGGGCUACUGACGAAGGUGGCAGAGUUGGUGACUAGUUUUUGUAGCAGCAGGUUUGGAGUUGCUUUGGUGUAUAUGUAUGUAGUGGAUAAAGACGCUAGAAGUUGGAAAAAUAGACCUCUUGGUAGAGUCGCUGGGGAGUUGCAGGUGUUUAGUAAGCAAUAUUAGGUAGCAUCUUAAUGAAAGAAACCAGGCUUUAGCUCUGAUACCAAGUUGAUGUAAGAUUAAUUGAGAAAUUCAGAACCUAUAAAAGUUGAAUAAACUAGUAGAAGCAGCAGAAUACACACAAUAAAGAAACAACUAGGGGAGAAGAAUGAGAGAAGGGGGAGAAAAGAGAAGAAAGGGCGGUGGAAAAAGAGAUAACUUCUGCUGCAACACUUCAAUUCAUUUCCAUCAAUUCUGUCUCUUACAUAAAGGCUGCAUACCUAUAUAAAUUCCAAAACAUAAAAGGGCCUUGGGGCAGUCCAUAACUACAGCCCAAUUAAACUAAUAAAGCAUGCAAUAAAUAACACCAAAGCAAAAGCCCAAAAUAGGUUAUGUCCUCAUCAUGAUCUCUUCUCUACAGUUGACGAAAAAAUAAGCAAAAGGGAAUGCUAAAAAUGACAACAAUAUUAGAUGCUAUGUUAACAGGAGGUAGGGAACUCGGUCUCCACGCCCAGGCCUUCUAUUAUGAAGAUGAAUUGCCAACAAAAAUGCCAACAUCUGGUUCAGGAAUUUCAUCAUAUAUUUCAUUUGAAACUUCACGUUCUUGUAUUACUAACUCUUCUCAUUCUCUAGCUCAAUCUCUUUAUCAUCAUCUUGAUCAACAUCUUCUAGUUUUGAAGCAGCAUUUGCUAUAAAACCAAUUAUUUUGUGGCCCAUGUAAUAUUAAAGAAUUAAUUAAAGGUGGUUAAUAUUACUAAAAUUUUAUUGGCCCAAUUGAGAAGUGACAGUUUUAUAAUUGUUCAUUUUGAUGGAAAGUGGAGAGUUUUAUUGCCCAUAGGAAACUGGCUCUCUCUAUCUAUAAACGUGAAUGAACAUCAAUUACAGAGAGGAAAAGUGAGAGAACAGUUUCUUUAAAUUAAUAGUUUCUUAUUUUGCAUAUUUAAAAUUCUCAAUUAUUGUCAUGGAUCAAUGUAUUUUUUUUUUAUCAAUUAAAUUCAUAUGUGAAAAUCAUGAAUUCUUAAAAUCUUGGCAUUAGGGUUUAAUACAUGUGGUAUCAGAGCCAUGUUAAAGAAUUCUUGAUUUUCCUUUAAAAAUUAUUAUUUUCCACUUUUUGAUACUUAAUUAUUUCUUAUAGAUUUAUGGAUUAAGAUCUGAAAUUAGAUUUGAUGGUUCCACAGCUGAAUAUUUUUUACCACAAAAAAAAAAUUAUGUUAAACCGUAUCAAUGGCCACUGAUAAUUAUUAGUGGAUAGUUCCCUGUGUAAUUAAAUUACAUGAAUUGGUCACCAAUGCAUUUAAAACUCAUUUUAUCUAUCGCGUUGCUGACAUAUUCUGCUUAUUCUGCAUUUACUAUUGAUGAUAGCCGGACACGGGUUUUUGAUUAAGUAAUGGGUUCUCUACUUUUCCUUAUUAUUGUAAAUGGUUGGAAAGAAAGGAGAGUUUAAUUAAUUACAUAUGUUUGUAUUCAAUUUCUUCUAAAAGCCUCAAUUCCCAAGAAAAUUGGCAGAAGUACUGUUGAAGUGUGUGUGUAUAUAUAUAGUUUUGACUUUUUUUUUGGAACUAUUGAACAUUUACUAUUUUUAUAUUCAAAUUUUAAUUUGAACUUUUGAUUAAGUUAGAUUAUGUCUAAUUCAACGACACUUAUUUUCAUGUCUUGUUUAUUUUAUUACCAAUUCUUGGGAUACCAAUUCAAUUCGGGGGAUUCUAGUAUAAGAAAAAUUAUAAAAAAUUCUUAACAAAAUUGAAAACGUCUUUAAUGAAAAUGACAAAGUCUACAAAAUUUACGUAAAUCUUUCUACCAAAAGUUUGAAAAAUAUUUCUUUAAUUAAUAUGAAAAUGACUUGCUUUUCAAAAAUUUCUCUUUCUAAUAAAUAUGAAGAGGACUUGUUAAUAAGGUAUUUCUCUUAAAAUUUUUACUCGUUUUGAAAUACAAAUUUCUUCCUACCAAUAAAUAUUUUCGAGAGAAAGUCUACUAAUUUGGUAAGAUUUUCUACACUUAAUUAGUUCAUUUUAAAAAGUAUGCACUUUAAAUUACUACGAUCAAAAGUAUAUAAGUAUAUUUCUAUUGUCUUUGCUAUUAAAAGUCUAUUGCUAAAAAAAAAGUCUAACUAGUUCUAUUAAAAUUUCUUUUAUUAUUUUCUCUUAUAAUAUUUACUCUUUGUUGUCUUUCUUUACAAUUUUUAGGAUCUUUUAUCAAGAAACUUCGAUACUGAGAGAUAGAGAGCUCAGUGAUUUGCUUCUUGAUAUGUGAAGAGGGGUCACCUCUAUUUCUAUCUAGAUCGGAUAAAAUAUGGCUUCCUACAAUGACUAAUCUUCUUAUUUCUCUAUUUUCUAGACAAGUAUUAAUAUAUUCGUUAAAACUUUUCAAUGAACAAGUAAGUAAGACAUUGUAAUUUAAAAGUAUAAAAUAUUAAAAUUUUAAAACGAUAUAUUUGUAAUGGUCUUUAAGUAAUAUACCGUUCAGCAAAUUAAUUUUUUCAUACCUUUUUUUUUAACUCUCUCUUAUCUUUUUUCUUGAUUCUUUAAAGAAGGUUUAAGACUGUAGCUAAAAAGAUUUUCAUCAUAUUUAAAAAGGCUUAAACAAACUCUCACUAUUAGGACAUAAAUUAGCCAACUUAACUAAGAGGAUUACUUUAUCUUUUGACCAUGGAAUCAGAAUAAAGAGGCUAAGAGCGUUAAAAUUAUAUUUUUGAAACAGAAAUAAAAUACUAUUUGUGAAUAAAUUAAUUUCUUACUUAAUGUUUCCCCUUUUAGGCUUUACCCAAAAAUUAACUAAAGUAAACGAAAAUUAUAAACAAGAGAAGAUAUGAAAAGAGCUUACUUUUAUUACGAAAUCUUUGAGUUUUUAAGGAUGUCUUUGAAUUUAUAAAUAUGGUGGAGAGAUUUUUUUAGUACAAGUGUAAUAGUGUGCUUUUUUUUCGGUGUGUUUUCUUUCAUGAGAGGUAUGUGUAUUUAUAGACGUUGGUACAUCACGUCUAUUCUGUUGGUGCUGUAAGUGUGCUAUCAAUAAUUGAAAAAUACUGUGCAAACUUUACAAGUGUGCGAUAAAAAAUCAAAGAAAAAUAAAUAAUGUGCAAUUCUCUAUGUGAGUAAUUAAAGAAUGAAUUAUUUGAAAAGAUGCUUCAAACAGCUUUUGUCUUCACGGCUGACUUUUCUUGAAAUAUGAGAAUCAACGUUGCAGAGAAUCUUUGAAAUAUGUUUAAAGCUUUAUCUUUACGCCUAUUUUUUUUUUUUACUUCCUUGUCUUGCUAAUUAUUCUCCAUCUUUCUAUCUCGUCUUUAUCUGUCCAUCAUUUCUGCUACGGCUUCUUCUAGUUCUGGAUCCAUCACAUUAUCGUUACCAUCAUAUAUAAAUUCUUUUGUUCAAUAUUUGGUACUAGAAUUUUUUUUUGCUUUAGUUCUCAUAGUAAGGUGCUCUUGGCAGAAAAUAAUUUCGUUAUUCCAUUGUGCUACAAUCUGAAAUCAUUAUUUUGAACUUCCAUCAUGGCUGCGGUUUCUGAUAUUCUUCUUUCAUAAUCAAUCUGUCUAAUUUUUAUUUGAUAUUAGUCCUUGAAGAGGGUCUAAAUCUUUUGGCUCUUUCAUAAAUUUAAAUACGAUGAUAAGCUGGAAUUACAAUGCCAUUAUUUACACGAGGGGUAUGGAAAUGAAUUGAACCAUUAAUGGGUGAUCUUUUAACUUAUCAAGAAUCUAUUUAAGUUUUGGUGGAAAAAAUAGAAAAGAUUUGUUUAAUAUAUAUAUAGUAUCUAUCAUACCAAACUGUAAAACUGAGUAAAAGAUGUCUUCUUCUUCAAAGAUUGUAUAAUCAAAGGAAAUUUUUGGAUAAUUAUGUUUAAGGAAUGCUAAAUUUUGGGCUGCAUCGUAUUUGGGACCAUGUCUAAGGAAGUAUCUAUUUUCAUUAUGAUAGUAACUUAAAAUUUGAGCAAAAUCUAUAAUUUCCUGCACAACGAAAUUCUUUAUAGAACUUCGAACAAUACUGGCGCAAUCACCAAUUUUCUGUUCUAAUUCGUAUAAAGUCUUUUCCCGUCCUGCAGCUGUAGAAUUCGUUAGUUCAAUAAGCAUUUCUAUUUUAUCAGAAUAAUUUCUACUUGUAGAGGCGAUGUCUUUAGAAAUUGUUUUUUCAAGUGUAUUUUUAGAAGAACUUAGUUUGUCUAAACUAUUAUGCAAUUUAAAAAUCUCAUUUUAAUAUUUACUAAUAGUUUGUUGGGAUGAAGAAAUUUGAUUUUCGAGGAGUUGUAGUCUUUCUUCUAAAGUAUGCUUUCUAAAAUUUAAAUUUCUAACAACUUUGGUCAUAGUUUCACAACUAUCACAAAGUUGUAUUGAUGAAGAUGAUGAUGAAACUUGAGAGGGGAUUUGCAUGGUCUGUCUAAUUGUUUCGAAUAUAUGAAAAUUAAAUCCUAUCAUUUCUCUACAAAAAUUUAAAACUUUUUCAAGCAUAUAAAAUCCUUUGAAAAGGGGAUCGGAAAAUCUUUCUACUUGCUGUAGUACUUUUGGCCAAUAAUUACAUAUUCCAGGCUUUCUACCUUUAAUUACUGCAAAGAAACUAAAAUUUUUGCUUUCUACUUAAUUAUGAAUCUGUCUGAAAUGGUUAGUUAAGGCAUUAAUGAUGUCUAAUUUUUGUUUAGAGUCACGUGCCAUCCAGAGAUUAUCCAGUAGACAACGCUCUCUUUCUGGUAGUCUUUCUAAAUUAUUUCCUCUGAAUCGAAAAUUAGAUCCUUGAGUGGCCACUCUCAGAGUGACAUUCCCAAAGUUCAUCAUCCUUUGAUCCAUCUGCACCGUGAAGAUAAUAAGUUAGAAAAUUAAUAAUUUGCAUACUUAAAUUAUCUGAUAAAAUAUUAUUUUUUCCGUCAAUAUGUUCUAUAUUAAUUUUAUAGAUGCUUAAUAUGUUAUAUAAUUUUAACCAUCUUUUAUGUCUUAUCUUAUCAAAAUUUGUCUUUUUAAUAAAUUUUACUAUAGCUUUACAAUCUGUCCUAAUUGUAAAUUCAGUGUUUAAAAAUAAUUUAAAGUUUUCUAUACUAUGUAUGAUGGUCAUUAUUUCAUAAUCUUAAUUAGUUAAAUAUUUUCCUUUUAUCUUGUACUUUUCGCUAGCAUAUCUACAAUUUUUUUCUUUUUUUUAUCACUAUAUUUAUUUGGUUUGGGAUAUAAAAUUCCUCUCCAUCCUAAUUCACAUCCAUCUGUUUUUAUUAUUUUAUAUUCACUAUCUAAUGGUAAUUCUAAUGGUGGUAAAUUUUUAACUUUUGCUUUCCUUCCUAAAUCUUUAAUAAAAUGUCUAGCAUAAUUUAAUAUUCCUAAAAAGACUUGUAAUUUCUUGGUUUCUUCAAUUUUGUCUGAAAAUUGUAAAAUUGUCCGUACUAUAUGUGGCUGUAACUGAAUCUUUCCCUCUCCUAAAAUUAUUUCUAAAAAUUCUAUUUUUUGUUUAUUUAUUUCCAUCUUUUUUUAAACUUAUAUUAAACCAUUUUCUAUAAAUUUAUUCAAGGUUAUCUCUAAAUGUUUCAUAUAUUCUUUAUAGUUUUUACUAUGUACUAGAAUAUCAUCUAUAUAUACACAAACAAAUGGAAGAAAAUUAAAUAUACUAUCCAUUUUUCUUUGAAAAAUAGAGGGUGCAUUUUUUAAUCCAAAAGGUAUGACUAAUCAUUCAAAGUGUCCUAAUGAAGUAGUAAAAGUUGUCUAAAGAAUAGAUUCUUUUGCCAUUUUUAUUUGCCAAAAUCCAAAUUUACAAUCAAAUUUAGAAAAUAUCUUACUAUUUUGUAUUUUAUUUAUUAGUAUAUCCUUAUUUGGUAUCUUAUAUGCAUCUUCUACAAUAUUAUCGUUUAAUCUUUUAUUGCUUAUAAUCAUUCUUGUUUUUCCUCUCUUUAUUUCACUAUGAUUUCUAACCAUAAAGGCUGCUGAUCUAUGUUGACUGCUAGACGGUCUUAUUGCUUUUAAAUCUAAUAAUUCUUUAAUUUGUAUGUUAAAAUCUUCUUUAUCUUGAUUCGUAUGUUUUAUUUCUGUUGUUCUAAUUUUUAUGUUUUCAUUUAUUAUUUCUAAUUUAGCUUCUAUUUUAUUUUUAUCCUAAUGUUUUAUCGGGUCUUCUCCUAUUAUUUGAAUUUUUUCAGCUAAUUCUAAAAUUUUGUCUAUACUAUCUAUUUUAGAAGAUGUCUUGUUAAAAAUUAUUAAUUCUUUAUUUCUUGGUAUAAAUUUGUUUUUAAAGUUUCUAAAGAUAAAUUAUCUAAAAAUUCUAAGUUUUCUAGAUUUUCUUCAAUUUCUAGGUCUGGUUCUGGUUGUAAGGGUUCAUCAAGCUUAGCUCGCAACUCUGAUGAUACUACAGUAUUAAUAAUAGAAGUGUCUUUUCCAAAAAUUAUAAUAUCAGGAGUAAUUGUUAAACUUCCAUUUCUACUAAGCAAGAAUUUGGUUCCUAUAACAAAUUCAUCUUUUAUCAAUGUGCUAACCAAUGUAGUCGUUAAACUAUACUGUUUUUCUUGAAAUUUAAUCUUACAAUCAUCAAAAAGUCUCUCUUCGAAUCUCAUUUUACUACCGUCCAUUUGACUUCCUCUUAUUUCAUAUUCUAAUUUCUGUCUACAAUCUUCUGGCACUAAAUCUUUGUCGAUUAUAUUAAAUGUACAACCUAUGUCUACUAAUGCUAUCAAAUUUAAUUUUAUUAUUUUGUUUAUCUGUACUUCUAUAGGUAUUCUGAUACUAUUUAUUGUCUUUACUCUAAAUAUUUGACAAAUUAUUUCUUCCUGAUUUUCUGUUUCCAAAUAAUUAUUUUCUGUGCAAUUAUCUAUAGACUGUUUUCCUUUUGUUUCUAGAGUUCUGAUCCUGUAUUGUAUUUCUCUUAAUACUUCGUGUAUUUUAUCUAUUUUAUUAUUUGUAUCUAUUAUUUUAUUAUCCAUUCUUUCUAUACUUUCACUAUAGUCUUUAUUUUUAUUUAUUUCUUCUUUAAUACCUAAACAAUUAUUGCAUUGAAUUUCUAGACAAUUUUUACACUGAUUUAUACUUUUGAAUCAUGGGUAUAUUCUGCAUAUUUUACAUUUAUCCAUCAUUGAUCAUAGUCCUCUAAUCCAUUCAUGGAUACACUCUUGCUCUAAAUUCAUCAUCUUUAUAUCUAAAACUGAAAAAUCUAGUUCUUCUAAACUAUCAUAACUGUUUUCAGAAUCACUUGUUAUUUCUAAAUUAUCUAACUCUUCAUCUGUGUAAAUACUAUAUACUGAGUUACAAGAUUCAUUAUCAGAUAAUUAUAUUAUGUUACAUUGUAUUUCUUCAAUUAUCAUAUGUUUAGCUGCAUUUUCUUUAUUUUUAUAUUUAUUUGGGCAUUUGUUAGCAAAAUGUCUAGGGUCUCCACAAAUAUAACAUUUACAGUCCUUUCUAAUUUUUGGUUUUCUAACAUAUCUAUUAUAAUUGAGUCUUUUAUUUUUAUAGUAUGUCCUACUUGGUCUAAUAUUAUAUUUCUUUUUAUUUUGAUAUUGAUUUUUAUAUUUUUGUUUUUUUUAAUCCCUUUUAUACAAUUUUUUCCUUCUUCUUCUAUAAUCAUAUGUCUGUGGUGUAUAUAAAUCUGAGCAAAAAGAAUAAUUUAAUUUCUUUAUUUGAUUUCUAGCCACUUCUUCUACACAAUAUUUUCUCAAUUUAUCAGUUAUAAAUAUCAUAGUGGCACUUAUAGUUAUUUUCUUUGUUGGGUUUGACUCUACAUCUUUUCUAAUUUCAUCACUUUAUGGUGGUGGUAUAUUUCUAUAUAAUCUUUCAAGUAUAAGGUAAUCUAAUGCUAAUCAUGCUGCGCUUGCUAAUCUUUCAAAAUCUAACAAAAAUGGUUGUAUGUAUUUCAUAUUACUAAUACUUAAUUUUUUUAAGUCUUCUAAAAUUUUAUUUUGUUCAUAAAUAUUGUCUCUACUGGGAUCAGAACCUAUAAUUAAUUCUCCAAUAAAACUUGUAAAAUUUUUAGGAUUAUUUCCUCCUACCAUUCUUAAUCUAAUUUCAUUUAGUUUUAGUCUUUUUGCUGUAGCGUAGACAUCUAAAUCAGUCUUUCCUAAAUAAGUUUCUAAAUAAACCCACAUUUCUUCUACAGUCAUUUGUAUAGGUACACUAUUAUUCGCUCUAAUUACAAAAUUUUCCCAUUUAGUUAUAGUACUAGGUAUGUCUUGUGGUUUACAAUUAUUUAACUCUAAGACUAAUCCUCUAUCGCUUGCUAACAGUAAACUACAUCCUUCUUCCGUUUGUCUUUUUCCUAAACUUUUAUAUAUUUUAUCAGUCCAUUCAAAGUCUCUUGCAGAGGGAAAAGGAUAUUUACCUCCUAUAUUGUAUUAUGUAUUCAUGGGUUCUUUUCUUUUUUCAAAUUCUUGAUCUGUCUCCCUUUUAACUCUCUUGCUAUUUUCUUCCAUCUUGGUUUCUAUAUCUACUUGAUCUUUUUCUAUUAACAUUCUAGUUUCUAUUUCUCUAUUUUUUUAAGAUUUCUGUAAUAUUUCAUAUCUAUAUAUCCAAAUUCUUUUUAAUCAUCCUCGUUUUCAUCUUCUUCACUUUCUUCAUCUAAAGUAUUAAUUUCCUCUUCACUUUCAUAGUCUUCUAUUUUAAAAUAUCCACAUUCUCCUUCACUUUCUUAUUCAUUUUGUUGUGUCUGUUCUGCUUGAUAAUUAUAAUUUUCAAAUCUAAUACUUAAAGUUCCAUUACUAUUUUUGUACUCAAUAUUAUUUUCUGGCACUAAUAGUGGUUUUUGUAGAAAAUUUCCUAAGUUCCAAUCUAAUCCUGCAUAUGUUUCUAAAGAAAAUUUCUUUGCUGAGAUAGUCUUUAUACCUUUUUGUCCUAAUAAUGUAAUUAUUUGAUUAUUUUCUAAUUUAUAAUUAGUAGUACUAUUUUCACUAAAUCUUCCUAUGAAUCCUGUGCAAAUUAAUAAAUUAUCCUCAUCUCUUUUCAUUUGAUAUCAUUUGCUUUUUAUUUCUAUUUUAAUAUCUUUAUAGAAAUUCUUUGUUAUAACUAAAUAGUCUGGUGUAAAAUAUACUAUUCCGACUUUAUUAUUCAUAUCUAAUUCUAUGCUUUCUAAUAAUCAUUGUUCUAUAUCAGUGAAUCUGCUAUCAUAUAAACAUACUAAUACUUUAACUCCUAAAUUUUCUCUGUGAAGCCAUUUUACUCCUAUUAUUAUUAAUCCUAAAUGAGUCUGUUGAUUAUUUUUAUUAACGAUUUCUUUAUAAGAUUCUUUUUCUAUUAAAUCUAGAGAUACAAAUUGAUCUUCAUGUGUACAGGAAGCAUAUCUUUCUCCAUAAUGCUGCUAAAUUAAAGAUUUACUAAAUAAAUUUUCUUUUUUAUAUAUGUCUAAAGUUUUUACUAAUUUCAGUUUAUUCUGUCUAAACAUUUCUAUUUGUUCUUCUAUAUCUAUUAAAAAUUCUAGUCUUGUUUCAAAUUCUGUUUUUCUACUUAAUGUUAUUAAUAAAGGAUUACCUACUAAUUUACUACUACUGGCUACGAUUUGUUUUCCUUUAUGCAUUAUGUAUAGAUCCACUUAGUUUUCUUAAAUCUAUUAGGUUUAUUAGUUUUACCUAAAUCUAGUUUUUCUAGUUUAUAUAUUAUAUUAUAUUAUCUAAAUCUUGUCUAUUAUUUAUCGACUUUUCUUUUUCUAAUGUUUUAAUUAUGCUUUCCAAUUUUUUUAAGUUAGGACUAGAUUCUGCUUCUCCUGUAUUAUUAGAUUUUCUUUUUAACACUCUUAGCCUCUUUAUCCUAGAUUUCAUGGUCAAAAGAUAAAGUAAUCCUCUGAGUUAAGUUGGCUAAUUUGUGUCCCAAUAGUGGGAGUUUGUUUAAGAUUUUUUAAAUAUGAUGAAAAUUUUUUUGGCUACAAUCUUAAGCCUUCUUUAAAAGGUAAAAAAAAAAAAAGAAGCUAAGAGAGAGUUUAAAAAAAAAGGUAUGAAAAAUUUAAUUUGCUGAACUGUAAAGUACUCAAAGGCCAUUACAAACAUAUCGUUUUAAAGUUUUAAUAUUUUACGCCUUUAAAUUAUACUGCCUUACUUACUUAUUCAUUGGAAAGUUUUAACAAAUAUAUUAAUACUUGUCUAGAAAAUAGAGAGAGAUGAAGAUUAGUCGUUGUAAGAAGCCAUAUUUUAUCCACUCUAGAUAGAAAUAGAGGUGACCCCUCUUUACAGAUCAAGAAGCAAAUCACUAAGCUCUCUGCUUUCAGUGUCGGAGUUUCUUGAUAGAAGAUCCUAAAGAUUGUAAAAAAGACAACAACGAGCAAAGAUUAUAAGAGAAAAUAAUAAAAGAUAUUCUAAUAGAACUAGUUAGACAUUUUUUUUUUACCAAUAGACCUUUAGUAGUAAAGACAAUAGAAAUAUACCUAUAUACUCUUGGUUGUAGUAAUUUAAAGUGCAAAUUUUUUAAAACGAAUUAAUUAAGUGUAGAAAAUCUUACCAAAUUAGUAAACUUUCUCUAGAAAAUAUUUAUUGGUAGGAAGAAAUUUGUAUUUCAAAAUGUGUAAAAAUUUUAAGAGAAAGACCUUAUUAACAAGUCCUCUUCAUAUUUAUUAGAAAGAGAAAUUUUUGAAAAACAAGUCAUUUUCAUAUUAAUUAAAGAAAAAAAUUUCAAACUUUUGGUAGGAAGAUUUACGUAAAUUUUGUAGACUUUGUCAUUUUCAUUAAAAGCGUUUUCAAUUUUGUUAAGACUUUUUUAGAGUUUUUCUUAUACUAGAAUGCCCCGAAUUGAAUUGUAUCCCGAGAAUAUAUAUAUAUAUAUAUUUCAUUCAAAAGUUUUGACGAAUUAUUUAUAUAAGUGUUUUGUUUAUGUAAUUAAUGUUAGAUUGAUGUUGUUUGUUUGUCACCAAAGUGGCCAAACAUUAUGGUAUUUCGAAUACUAAAUUACAUAAUUUAUUUGUUAAUGACUCUUGAUAGUUUGAUGCUUAUAAAUGAAAAUGACUUUAUUUUUUGUAUCAAGAGUAUAUUGACGUUCAUAUAUUAUAAAAUUAUUAUAGAUCGUCCAAAUGUUGAUCAGUUAAUUUUGUUAAUCUUGAACAUGAUAGUGGUUAAUUGAUUUACUUGGUCGGAUGUGUUUUGUAUAUCCAAAGAUAUCAUACAUGUUUGAUUAGAGUAUAUUUAAUUACUAAUUAAGUAAAAUUAAAUUAGCAUCAUUAUGUCUAUUUAUGAUGGUAUAACAUAGUACCACCCAAAGGAGAACUACGCUAUACAUUUAUUGAUAUCUGAAUCUGAAAUUAAGUAUUUAAAUCUUAACUCAAAUCAUUAAUAUUAGAGCAUUUUAUAUUUUGCAGUAUUUGUUCCCGUUUCUCUGCAUUCACAUGCUUCAUCUGUGCCACUGUUCAAUGGGCUCAAUUUCUCUGACCGGUGUGAACAAGUCCAGUUCAACUUAGGUGUUUUAGACUUGGACUUCGACUUGACACUUCAAGUUGAGAAACCUAUUGAUCUUACUAAUGAGAGUAGUGCUCAUGAAAGAUCUUUCCAUAAGGCUAGGGAAAGGUCAAACAGAUUAAGUUUAAUAUUAAUGCGGAUGACCUUAGCAAAGAAUAUCAAGUCUAUUAUCCCUAAAACUGAUAAUGCUAAGGAAUAUAUGAAGUUUGUGGAAUAACGUUCCCAAACAGCUGACAAAUCACUUGAUGGCACACUGAUGGGCACCUUAACCACCAUGAAAUUUGAUGGUCGUCGUACCAUGCAUGAGCAUGUUACUGAAAUGAGUAACAUUACAACAAGACUUAAGACUCUUGGAAUGACUGUGGAUGAGAACUUUCUGGUACAAUUUAUCAUCAACUCCUUGCCUCCCAAGUACAGUCCAUUCUAUAUGAACUAUAAUACCUUAAAGGAUAAAUGGAAUGUGAAUGAAUUGCAUAGUAUGCUCGUGUAAGAGGAGACAAUGCUUAAGAAUCAAGGAACUCAUUUUGUUCAUCUCGUAAGUCAUCAAGGAGUUGGAAAGAAAUAUAAGAAAAGAUCUGGAAAGGACAUUAAGCAAGAACCACUAAAGAUAAAUGAGUUUUCUGCCCAAAUCCACAAUAAGAAACACAAGAAAGAUAUGUGACAUUUCGAAAGUAAAGGUAAGAUUAUUUCUUAUGUAUGUUUCGAAUCUAAUUUAGCAAAAGUUCCUUAUAAUAUUUGGUGAAUUGAUUCCGGAUGUACCCCUCAUAUUACUAAUACGAUGCAGGGAUUCCUUUCAAUUUAGACCAUAAAACCAAAUGAAAAGUUUGUCCUCAUGGGAAAUCGAGUCAAAGUUCCAGUUGAAGCUAUUGGAACCUAUCGUUUGAUUUUAAAUACUGGACAUCAUUUAGAUUUAUUUCAAAUACCUUAUGUACCUUCUAUUUCUCGCAAUUUAGUUUCUUUAUCGAAACUCGAUUCUGUUGGAUAUUUUUUCGAUGGUGGAAAUGAAUGUUUAAAUUUUUUAAAACAAAAUCAUCUUAUCGGUUCCGCUAUUCUUCGUGAUGGAUUAUAUAAAGUAAAGCUUGAUAACCUCUUUGCCGAGACUCUUUUGACCUUGCAUCAUAAUUUUGGUACUAAACGUGGUUUACUGAAUAAAUGAUCUACUAACUGGUGACAUAAACGUUUGGGGUCACAUAUCCAAGGAAAGGAUAGAAAGAAUAGUAAAGAAUGAAAUCCUCCCUAACUUGGAUUUUAGUGAUCUUGGAGUUUGUGUAGAUUGUAUUAAGGGUAAACAAACCAAACACACAAAGAAAGGAGCCACAAGAAGCACGCAGCUUUUUGAGAUAAUACACACCGUUAUAUGUGGGCCUUUUGAUGUUCCAUCAUUUAGUGGAGAAAAGUAUUUUAUCACCUUUCUCGAUGAUUUUUCACGUUAUGAUUAUGUCUAUCUACUACAUGAAAAGUCUUAAGCUGUAAAUACUUUAGAGAUCUUUGUCAAUAAAGUUGAACGGUAAUUAGACAGAAAGGUAAAAAUUAUUAGAUCUAAUAGAGGUGGUGAAUAUUAUGGAAAGUAUGAUGAAACUGGGUAACACCCUGGUCCAUUUGCUAGAUUUCUUGAAAAACAUGGCAUAUAUUCUCAAUACACUAUGUCAGGCACACCACAACAAAAUGAUGUGACUGAAAGGCGUAAUUGUACUCUAAUAGAAAUUGUUAGGUGUAUGUUAAGCAAUUCAUCUUUACCUAUUUAUUUGUGAAUGUUUGCAUUAAAGACUGCUAUGUACCUGCAAAACAAGGUUCCUAGUAAGGCAGUUCCAAAGACUCCUUUUGAACUGUGGACGGGAAGAAAACCCAGCUUAAGGCACCUGCAUGUUUCGGAUUGCCCUGCAGAAGCAAGAAUUUAUAAUCCAAGUGAAAAGAAACUGGACUCAAGAACAAUCAGUGGAUUUUUCAUUGGUUAUCCAGAAAAAUCAAAAGGGUAUAGAUUUUAUUGUCCUAACCAUAGUACUAGAAUUGUUGAAACUGAAAAUGCUACGUUCAUUGAGAACAGUGAAGUUAGUGGGAGUUUGGGACCACGAAAUGUGGAAAUACAAGAUGUUAGAGUUUAAGUUUCUCUACCGUCAACUUCUUCUAAUAUUUGUUGUUCCUCAAAUUUUUGAACAGCAUGACAAUUUACCUGAACAACAAAUAAACGAUCAAACACCCCACAAUGAAGUUGCUACUGAUGAACCCGCAUUAAAUGAACCACAAGAAAUAGCAUUAAGAAGGUCACAAAGACAACAAAGACCUGUUAUUUCUUAUGAUUAUAUGGUUUACCUGCAAGAGUUUGAAUUUGACUUGGGAAUUGUUGAUGAUGAUUCUGCUUCAUUUUCACAAGCCAUUGAGAGCGCUAAUUCUGAUAAGUGAUUCAAUGCUAUGAAAGAUGAGUUGAAAUCUAUGGAACAUAAUAAAGUCUGGGAUCUCGUUGAAUUACUAGAAUCAUGUAAAAGAGUUGGGUGUAAAUGGGUCUUUAAGACCAAGCACGACUCUAAUUGUAAUAUCGAACGAUAUAAAACUAGACUUGUUGCCAAACGUUUUACUCAAAAAAGUGGCAUUGAUUAUAAUGAGACAUUUUCAACAGUCUCUAAGAAAGACUCCCUCAAAAUUAUAAUGGUUUUUGUAGCUCAUUAUGACUUAGAGCUACAUCAAAUGGAUGUAAAAAUCGCCUUUUUAAAUGGAAAUUUAGAUGAAGAAGUUUAUAUGGAUCAGCUUGAAGGUUUUUCAGUUGAAGGAAAGGAACACAUUGUGUGUAAGUUAAAGAAAUCAAUAUAUAGACUUAAGCAGGCUUCCCGUCAAUGGUAUUUUAAGUUCAACGAUACCGUUACUUCCUUUGGAUUUAAGGAAAACGUCGUUGAUCAAUGUAUAUAUCUAAAGAUCAGUGGGAGCAAGUUUAUAUUUCUGAUUUUGUAUGUUGAUGAUAUCUUGCUAGCUACUAAUUAUUUUGGUCUAUUACACGAGACUAAGAAAUUUCUCUCUAAAAAUUUUGAAAUGAAAGAUAUGGGAGAUGCAACUUACGUGAUUGGAAUUGAAAUAUUCCGUGAUAGGUCACAAGGAUUGUUGGGAUUGUCUCAGAAAGCAUAUAUCAAUAAAGUUUUAGAGAGAUUUAAAAUGAAAAAUUGUUCAGCGAGUGUCGUUCCAAUUCAAAAAGGAGACAAGUUUAGUUUCAUGCAAUGUCCUAAAAACGAACUGGAACGCAAACAAAUGACAACUAUUCCUUAUGCAUCUCUUGUUGGGAGCUUAAUGUAUGCUUAGACUUGAACCAGGACAGACACCAGUUUUGCUGUCGAGAUGCUGGGCGGGUAUCAGAGUAACCCGGGACUUGAUCAUUGGAGAGCUGCAAAGUAAGUAUUGAGAUACUUGCAAGGAACGAAAGAUCACAUGCUCAAUUAUAGGAGAUCUGAUAACUUGGAGGUCAUUGGAUAUUUAGAAUCAAACUUUGUUGGAUGUGUGGAUAUGAGAAAGUCCACAUUUGGCUAUCUAAUCCUCUUGGCUGGAGGGGCUAUAUCAUGGAAAAGUGCGAAGCAGUCGGUCAUUGCUACAUCCACUAUGGAAACAGAGUUUGUGGCAUGCUUUGAGGCCACAAUUCAAGGAAAUUGGCUGCGAAACUUUAUUUCAGGGCUUGGAAUUGUCGGCGGUAUUGCCAAGCCACUGAAACUUUAUUGUGACGAUUCUGCAGCGGUCUUCUUUUCAAAGAACGACAAGUACUCCAAAGGUGCUAAACACAUGGAAUUGAAGUACUUUGUCAUUAAAGAAGAAAUUCAAAAACAAAGGGCGUCAAUUGAGCAUAUUAGUACCAAUCUUAUGAUUGUGGAUCCAUUAACAAAAUUAUUGUCACCAAAGACAUUUAAUGAAUAUGUCGGAAGGAUGGGAAUAAUUGAAAAUUAUCAUCGACAUUAUUAUGUAAUUUAUAAUGUUUAUGUAUUCACACUUUGAACUCAUUUAUGCAUUGUUUUUGACAAAAUAUUAUUCAUGUCAUAACUAUUGGUACAUGUACGUGAAUGCUGACAGGGAUAGUCUUUUCGAAGACAUUAUUGUAAUGCAAUUAUCGAAUUUAUCAUUAUGUGUCAUGUUGGGUAAGGACUAAUACUGUAGUACAUGGAAGGAAUUAUGCUGAUAUGAUGGUGUAAAACCGCCAUGACUUUUAUUAGUCUUUACUCAAAGAUGAUAUAUUAAGCGGCUAAUGUAUGAUGGAUUUUAGCUAAUGAUAUGCACAUUAUGUUAUAUACCAUAUAACGAAGCAAUAUAUUACACGAGCCAAGUGGGAGAAUAUAAAACCAAUUAUUUUGUGGCCCAUGUAAUAUUAAAGAAUUAAUUAUAGGUGGUUAAUAUUACUAAAAUCUUAUUGACCUAAUUGAGAAGUGGCUGUUUUAUAACUGUCCACUUUGAUGGAAAGUGGAGAGUUUUAUUACCCAUAGAAAACUGCCUCUCUCUGCCUAUAAACAUGAAUGAAACUCAUCAAUUAAUUAUUCAAUUACAAAGAGGCAUAGUCAGGGAACAGUUUCUUAUUUUGUAGAUUUAAAAUUCUCAAUUACUGUCAUGGAUCAAGGUAUGUUUUUUUUUUUAUCAAUUAAAUUCAUAUUUGAAAAUCAUGAAUUCUAAAGAUUUUGGCAUUAGGGUUUAAUUUCUUACAUUUGCUUGAUAAGUCCAAGCUUUUCUUCCUUCGGGCAGUGUUAUUUUUUGGGCGUUUCAGGCACACUUAGGGUUGGCAAUGGGCUCGGCUCGGCCCACGAGCUCGUGGCUUGUCCGAGCUCGACCCAUGUCCGAGCUCGUGGGUCGAGCCGAGUUUCGGCUCGUUGGCUCGCCUAUUUUUUUAAAAAUAAAAAAUAGAGUUUUAAAAAUAAAAAGUGUUAAAAAAUAAAAAGUAUUAAAAAAUACAAAUAAUUUAACGAAAACAAGUUUUUAUUUAUAUCAUAUUGUAAUUUGUAAUACUUUUUAUAAAGUAUAAAAAAUUUAUAUAAUGAAAACAAAUUAUUUUUUGAAAUACAUUUACAAAAAAUAUUUUUUUUUAUUUCUUUUAGGUUAUCAUAAAGAAUAGAGUUUUAAAAAUAAAAAGUGUUAAAAAAUACAAAUAAUUUAACGAAAACAAGUUUUUAUUUUUUUUAUUUAUAUCAUAUUGUAAUUUGUAAUACUUUUUAUAAAGUAUAAAAAAUUUAUAUAAUGAAAACGAAUUAUUUUUUGAAAUACAUUUACAAAAAAUAUAUUUUUUUGAUUUCUUUUUAAAGUUAAUAAAGAAUAUGUUUUAAAAAUAAAAAAUGUUAAAAAAUACAAAUAAUCUAACGAAAACAAGUUUUUAUUUUUUUUUAUUUAUAUCAUAUUAUAAUUUGUAAUACUUUUUAUAAACUAUAAAAUAUUUAUAUAAUGAAAACGAAUUAUUUUUUGAAAUACAUUUACAAAAAAUAUUUUUUUAUUUAUUUUUAAAGUUAAUAAAAUGUAAACUCUCCUCCUUUAUCCGGACUUGGGACCGGAUACAUCAAUUUUAAGUAGACGAAGUUAAAAAUUGUACACGAACAACUUGUAACGUGUACAAUUUUUUAAAGAAAAUUAAAUUUAACGAUUAAAAAAUAAAAAAAAUUUGAUUAAUAUAAUUUAAUCAAAUAUCACUUACCUGACGACAUACAAUUUCAGCGUAUUUAUCUUGUAGUAAAAAAUGAGCGUCCCGUCAAUCCUUCACACACAUUAACGCUUCCAAAACAUUUUCUUUCAGUCGGCUCCUGGUAUCGAUCAAAACUUUUUUACCUGCACUAAAAGCAGAUUCCGGAGCAUCAGUGCUAACUGGAAGUGUCAAUAGAUCUUUCACAAUUGUAGAAACAAUUGGCCAACGUCUUUUAUACUUUCGCCAGAAUUCAAUUACUUCUUCUGAAGUUUUUUAAUUGUUCUGUCUGUUGGCAUAUUAUGAUUGAAAUAAUCAAUUAAUUCGGCAGGCAUUGCAUUUUGAGUUUCGGCCGAUGUUUGAUGAGAUGCAUAUGUAGAUGACAUGGCACUAGAUGAACACAUUGCAGUUGCAUCAUAUCUAAAUGUAUUAAUACUCUAAAAUAAAUUCAUUAUUUUCACAUCAUCUUCUUCGGUUUCAGCAGAAGGAGUAGGUUCAGCAGAGGGUACUCGACUAACAUUUGCACCUAUUCUUUCCGCAUAUAAAUCAUACAUUUCACAUAAUAUUUGCUCUAAAUUCUUAUAGGUGAUAGAUGUAUCAAGUAUUAAAACUUUAUUGAUUUGAUCAAUUACGUAUUUAGUUCCCGAAAUAUUAUAUCAGGGGUCCAUUGCGCAUGCUAAAGGAAAUAACAUAGGCAAUUCUUCCCAAUAUUUUCUAAACUUUAAUUCCAUAGCAAUUAAAAUUUCAAUAAAAGCAGGAUCAUUUUUAUAUUUAUGGAAUGUUCUUGCAAUUAUAUAAAGACAUUCAAGCACCAUACAGCUUGUGGGAUAAUAAACGCCGGAUAAAAUCUUUGUGGUCUCAUAAAAAGAUGUGAAAAAUCGUUUAACUUUCAAAGCUAAAAUCCAAUCGGAUUCAUUUAACAUACCAUCAUCAUCAUUUCUAACACGUCUAUUGUUAUAAAAGUCAGUUAUUAAAUUUUUGAAACCUUCACAUGAUUUUAAUAGCAAGUAUGUAGAGUUCCAUCUAUGACCUACGUCGCUAACAAAUGUUUUAGCAGUCAUCAUCCCUAGUUCGACACAAAAAUCUUCAAAUACUUGUUUUCUACUAGGAGAAAUCAUAAUAUAUACUAAUGCAUUCUUAAUCUUUUGAAGUUCAUCCUUUAUAUGUUUUAAACCAUCUUGCACAUUUAAAUUCAAGAUAUGACACACACAACGAAUAUGAAACCAAUACCCACAAAAAUCAGGUUGAAGUGUCCUACACAAUUUAUCGACGACUACCUUAUUAACACUAGCAUUAUCAAAAGUAAAAUAUCGAAUUUUACUCUCACAAUGAUACUCUCUAACAAUACUGAUAAUAACAUUAUAUAUAUUCUUAGCAUUGUGAGGAAAUUCAAUAAUUCUAAAAGCAAUAAUUUUCUUAUGCAUACACCAAAGUGGGCCUAAAUAGUGUGCGGUUGCAAUUAUAUAUACUCUUUUAUUAACCCCUUCCCAUAUAUCAGAAGUUAAGGAUAUAACACCCCCAUAUUGUUGCAAAUUCAUAAUUAAUUGUUGUUUUGAAUUAUUGAAAUAAUUUAUUGUAUCAGCACAAAGAGUGUUUCGACUUACCCCAACGUACCUCGAUUGUAUAUAUUCUUUCACGAACAAGACGAAAUGUUGGUUGUCUGCAAUAGCCAGAGGCAACUCAGUGGCGGCAACAAAUUUCACCAUUCCGGUUCAAGUCUCGUCCUCCGAAUACACCCACGUGGAUAGGGGUGAAGUUGUAGAACCGGCGCCUGGACUGCCAAAUUAUAAUUGUGUUUGACCAACUGGAAAAAGUCCAUGUCUGGCUGCACAUGAUUUGUAUGGCGGUUGAGAUGAGUGGUACCAAUUCCUUUUUCCCAUGCCAAUCUUCGUUGGCAGUAUUUACAUACUACUUUAGAUUCUGCAAGGCCAUCAACGACUUUUUCCGUUGAAAUUAACUUAAAGUGAUCCCAACAUUUUGCUUGUUUUUUGGCCUUUCGCUUUCCCCUCGCAUCUGGGAUAUUUAAUUGCUGAUCUUCAUCUUUAUGUUCCGUUUCGGGAACAUUAAUAUCAUCCAAAUCAAUUGGAGUGUGGCUUCCCUGACCGUGAAUGUAAACAUGUAUCGGUAUGUCAUUUAGACCGACAAAUUCAUUUGGAAAUUGACUUUGCGGCGUCCUAGGCGAUUCUCCAUGAUGUAGCAGUGGCUCAUAUCCUGUAUCGAACAAGCUCUCAACAAAUGAACGUUGAUCCAUUUCUGUGAUUGUUUAUGAUGAAAUCUUGACUAGAUGAAUAUAAAUGUAGUGAGAUUGUGAGAAUUGAAAAUUAGAUGAAUUGAAAUUGUAACUAAUAAACUGUAAAAAUUGAAUUGAUAUUGUAUAUUUUGCAGCACAAGAGAGUAAAAACUCGAUAAUUGAUAUAAUAAAAGAGAGUUAAGAGGGUUGUAAUUUUGGAAGAGCAAUUGAUAUGAAAAAAAUCUUUGGGGGAAGGGGGUAUUUAUAGUAAAAAAGGGGGGGAAUGAAAAAAAAAAAAAAAAAAAAGUUCAAGGACCAAAACGGCCNNNNNNNNNNNNNNNNNNNNNNNNNNNNNNNNNNNNNNNNNNNNNNNNNNNNNNNNNNNNNNNNNNNNNNNNNNNNNNNNNNNNNNNNNNNNNNNNNNNNNNNNNNNNNNNNNNNNNNNNNNNNNNNNNNNNNNNNNNNNNNNNNNNNNNNNNNNNNNNNNNNNNNNNNNNNNNNNNNNNNNNNNNNNNNNNAGCCGAGCCGGCUCGACCCAAUUGACAUUCAUAGGCACACUUUACCUUAUGUGGUUUUGAAAACAUGACCACAAGUGAUUUUAUAUGGUAUUUCUUGCCUAAAAACGGUGAGCUCCAUUUUUGAGGAGUGAAGGAUUUAGAGACUUUUCAAUGAACAUACUUUGUGUUUUUAUUUAGAUCCGUUUGAUCGUAAGAAUGGAAUUUUAAUGGUGCUUAGAACUUGUUUUCCUAAAAAUUGUCAAUUAAAUAUGUUUAAUUGGUACAAUUUUUUACCUGAAAAAUGUUGAAAUUUCGAAUCUUUUGAUAUUUGUUUGACUUUGUUUUCCAUAAAAAUUGUCAAUUGAAGGAAUAAAAUUUGUUCCAAUUGUCAGAAUAAACAUUAAAAAAAAAAAAAGGAGGGGAGGCCUGGAAAACCAAUUUCCAUGGAUUUUGUGGGAAUUGGUUUUCCACAAAAUCAAGGAAAUUAGUCAAGUGUGGAUAGGGAUAUCAACGAGUCGAGUCGAGUCGAACCGGCUCGAGAGCCAAAAUUUUUCGCUCAGACUUUUGUAAGGCGGGCUUUUUUUAGCCCGAGCAAAAUUGAGCAAAAACUCAGUCGAAAAAUUAAGGCUCGACCCACGCUUUCGGCUCGGGCUUUACUGAACCGAGCCGAGCUCGAUUUCUGGAAAAAAAAAUUUCCCUAUACCUAACUGCCAAACAGGCAGCAGAGCAGGGGGCUUGGAAAACCAAUUUCCAUGGAUUUUGUGGGAAUUGGUUUUCCACAAAACCAAGGAAAUUAGUCAAGUGUGGAUAGGGAUGUCUUUGCUCGAGCCAGGCCGAACAAAAGCUCGAUCGAAAAAUUAAAGCUCGACCCACGCUUUCAGCUCGAGCUUUACCGAGUCGAGCCGGGCCGAGCUCGAUUUCUAGAAAUAUUUUUCCCCCUACCUGUUUGGCAGCUUAUUUUUAAACUGCCAAACAGGUAGCUAAUCUGCUGCCAACUAACAGCAGACUUGCUGCCUAUUGGCAGCUUGUUAUAGCUGCUAAGCUGCCAAUUAAGGUAGUUUAGCAGCAUAUUUUCCAUUUUUUUUCAAAUAAAUACGGGCUGUCCCAACUCGAGCCAACUCUCAAAAAUGAGGCUCGGUGCCUCCGAGCCUCAAGCAGAGUCGGCUCGAUCUUUUUCCAAGCCGAAUUACGAGCGACCUGAGCCGACGAGCUCGAUUGCCAUCCCUAAGUGUGGAGGGGGAGAAGAAGAAGAAAUUGUCGAGAAAAUUUUGCAAUCAAACAAAUCAAAAAGGUGAAACAUGAAAAAUUCAUAAAAAUUGGGCAAAUCAAACAAGCCCUUAAAUUUUCUUGUUUUUUAUUGGAACCCAGCUGCAUUUUUUCUUAAAUAAAGGAACAAUGUUAUAAGACAAAAAUACCCUUACAUUUAAAAAGGAAAAAGGAAGACACUCCACAUGUUGGCUUAACCACAGAUUUGUACGGAGUGCACAAAGGAAUAUUUUGGGCAAUCUAAAGUGUAAUUAGCCCGUUAGGAAGAAAUUUUUAGGGCAAAAAAAUGACUUUUUUGACCGUUGACCACCCAUUUACAGCCAUCACUCUCACAGGUGAAUCCCAACUGACCUAAAAGGGUCAAAAAAUUACAUUUUUGGGUGGAAAAGCUCUCCAAACAGCCCCUUAGAGUUAAAAUAUCAAAAAAUAAAAGGAAUUUUUCUGCGCAGUAACAAUGAAACGUGUUGAUGUUGUGUUUUUACCCUUUAUAUUAUUUUAAUUCUAGUGCAAGGGAGGAAUCGUCCUGAUAUUGAAUAAAAUCAAAUAUAACAAUUCAACAAUCCAAUAUAUUUGUGACAUGAAGUUCUCACACUGAGCAUCACAAAUUUCACACUUUUCAACCAUACAUUAAUAUCAAGAUUAUACAUCAUGGCUACCAUAACCAAAACAACUGAUUGUACUUCAUGGGCAGUAUAUUUUAAGCGCACACGAACAUAAUUUUAACACCGUAAAACGAACGAAAAUUCACAAAAUAGUUUAUACUCUCCUUCAACAAGCCAACAAACUUCAUACUUUAAAGGCAGCACAACUAACAAACAUAGCAUUUCCAGAUAUGAAAUUACACACGAAGUAGAUAUCAUAGGAUGUCAGAACAUCAAGGCCUGCAAUAAAGCUAGUUCCGCCCAAAAUUUAUUUCGAGUUCUUGAUAUUGUAGAAAGAUGACGACCAUAAGAUAUAUUUGCCCUUCCGAAAUUUUCAUCAUUAAACAGCAAACUCAAAGCUCACCAUCCCAUAUAUCUUCAACGGUUCUGUAUGAACCGAACUUCUCAUGGACAAAAAAGUUACCUGUAACUUGCCUUUCCUGCCAAAUAAGGAAAAAUCUUAUGAGCUGUAGAAAGAAAAUGCCUGCAUUCUCAAAAUAGAACUUUGUUCGCUGGGUUAAAAAAGGUCUAAAUGUGUAGCAUCCGAACAAAACUUCUAACACCGGAAUCUUAAUAGGUGAUGCUGCACACCUGUUAGCAUGUUUGGCAAUUGAAUAAAAAUUUUGGCUAUGUUUGAGCCACAUUUUUUCAAAAAAAAUAUUCUUAAACAGUGAUUUGACAUCAUUUCAAUCACACAUUCUCUUCAAUAAAAUAAUAUUACACGUAAAUUCAAAACCUUUUUUUAUUUUUUAACCACGCAUUUCCUAUCAAUACACUAUUCAAAAAUACAGAAUAUAAUGUGGCUCAAACAAGGGCUUUAUAUAUUGUAGUGUCCAAUCCAAUCUAAAUUGCCCAUGCAUAGUAAGCAAUACUUAUUAGCUGUACUAAUAUUUAAUGACAAAAAUAUAGGGGGUUCCCACGAUGGGUACGAAACAAAAAAAUUGCUAGGGAGUAUUUAUCUAAUAUCUAACUCUUCUCAGCUGUAUUUGCAAAAUAAAUUGUUGCAUUACUCAUAUGGCCACUAGAAGAAAUAUACCCAUAAAAUCUCAAAGGAAUAAAUGAAAAAGAAAAUAACUUGCCUGCUCAAUUUCGGAGAAUUUGGCAAACAAGUCAUCAGGUAUGGACCAAUCGAAAACAUCAAAGUUCUCUUUGAUCCUUGAUUCAUUUGUGCUCUUGGGGAGUACACUAUGACCCGUCUGCAAACCCCAUCGAAGAGCAACCUGAGCGGGAGUUUUACCCAAUUUUUCUGCNNN